Molecule: ribosomal RNA, 468 nt
Filed under: uncultured bacterium
Lineage: Bacteria
Description: partial 16S ribosomal RNA
Rfam family: Bacterial small subunit ribosomal RNA
Source: RNAcentral
GACGAACGCUGGCGGCGUGCUUAACACAUGCAAGUCGAACGGAAAGGCCCUGCUUUUGUGGGGUGCUCGAGUUGCGAACGGGUGAGUAACACGUGAGUAACCUGCCCUUGACUUUGGGAUAACUUCAGGAAACUGGGGCUAAUACCGGAUAGGAGCUCCUGCUGCAUGGUGGGGGUUGGAAAUUUUCGGCGGUUGGGGAUGGACUCGCGGCUUAUCAGCUUGUGGGUGGGGUAGUGGCUUACCAAGGCUUUGACGGGUAGCCGGACUGAGAGGGUGACCGGCCCCAUUGGGAUUGAGAUAGGGCCAAGACUCCUACGGGAGGAAGCAGUGGGGAAUAUUGCACAAUGGGCGGAAGCCUGAUGCAGCAACGCCGCGUGCGGGAUGACGGCCUUCGGGUUGUAAACCGCUUUCGCCUGUGACGAAGAGUGAGUGACGGUAAUGGGUAAAGAAGCACCGGCUAACUACGUG